RNAcentral lists this ribosomal RNA (660 nucleotides) under Stolonifera sp. AT41-18-057. Its description in RNAcentral is "partial 28S ribosomal RNA". It matches the Rfam family "Eukaryotic large subunit ribosomal RNA", at positions 402 to 858 of the family's 3401-position model. Lineage: Eukaryota; Metazoa; Cnidaria; Anthozoa; Malacalcyonacea. The record is from RNAcentral. RNAcentral also lists the same sequence under 3 other names.
AAACCGUUGAAAGGGAAGCGAAUGGAGUUAGCAAUUCGCCCUGCCAGAUUCAGUUGUUCGCACCAUGCGCGACUUGCACGCUCUCGAUCCACAUGGACGAGACGUGCGCGUUUGCCGCGUGCGAGCGGCGCACUUUUGGCGGGCGAGCGUCAGCGUCGGUUGUCGACGAGUGACAAGUGCGCGAGGAAGGUGGGCCGUUCUUCUCGAACGGUUGUUAAGCCUCGCGUUCGAAUGGCUCGACGACGACCGUGGCUCUCGACGAGAGAGGCGACGCGUGCUCGGCUGGUGAAACGACGGUCGGUCCGGCAUGUCGACGGUGGCGGACGGCAUGCCUGUGCGCUCGAACUGCUGCCGGUCGAUCCGUCGUUCUCUCCGCACACUACGCGUCCAAGAUGCUGACGACCAUACGGCUCCAUCCGACCCGUCUUGAAACACGGACCAAGGAGUCUAACAUGUGCGCGAGUCUCCGGGUGAUCGAAACCCGUGGGCGCAAUGAAAGUAAAGAACGUCCUCGACGUUUGAGGUGAGAGGCGAUGCCCCACGCGUGGCGUCGUUGCAUCAUCGACCGACCUAUUCUGCUCACAGAAAGGUUUGAGUAAGAGCGUAUCUGUUGGGACCCGAAAGAUGGUGAACUAUGCCUGAAUAGGGUGAAGCCAGCGG